RNAcentral lists this long non-coding RNA (363 nucleotides) under Zonotrichia albicollis (white-throated sparrow). Its description in RNAcentral is "lncRNA (ENSZALG00000000685.1)". The record is from RNAcentral. Lineage: Eukaryota; Metazoa; Chordata; Aves; Passeriformes; Passerellidae.
AAAAUCCCACAAAAACCCCAGGAAAACCCGAAAAGAUCCCAGAAAAAUCCCAGAAAAUCCCAGGAAAACUGGGAAUGAUCCCAAAAAAAAACCCCAAAAGAAUCUCAGGAAAACCCCGGAAAAAUCCCAAAAAAACCCGAAAAAAAUCCCCAGAGAAUCCCAGGAAAAUCCCAAAAAAAUCCCAGGAAAACCUGAAACGAUCCCAAAAAAUUCCCAGAGAAUCCCAGGAAAACUGGGAAUGAUCCCAAAAAAACCCCCGAAAUAAUGUGAGGAAAACCCCGGAAAAUCCCAAAAAAACCCCAAAAAAAUCCCCAGGAAAACCCGAAACGAUCCCAAAAAAUUCCCAGAAAAUCCCAGGAAAAC